UGCCAGCCGCCGCGGUAAUACGUAGGUGGCAAGCGUUGUCCGGAAUUAUUGGGCGUAAAGAGCAUGUAGGUGGAUUAUUAAGUCGGACGUUAAAAUGCGGGGCUCAACCCCGUAUUGCGUUGGAUACUGGUAAUCUUGAGUGCAGGAGAGGAAAGGGGAAUUCCCAGUGUAGCGGUGAAAUGCGUAGAUAUUGGGAGGAACACCAGUGGCGAAGGCGCCUUUCUGGACUGUAACUGACACUGAGAUGCGAAAGCUAGGGUAGCAAACGGGAUUAGAUA
Molecule: ribosomal RNA, 278 nt
Filed under: uncultured bacterium
Lineage: Bacteria
Description: partial 16S ribosomal RNA
Rfam family: Bacterial small subunit ribosomal RNA
Source: RNAcentral